RNAcentral lists this transfer RNA (87 nucleotides) under Halothiobacillus diazotrophicus. RNAcentral's name for it is "Halothiobacillus sp. LS2 tRNA". It matches the Rfam family "tRNA". From Rfam's summary of the family: Transfer RNA (tRNA) molecules are approximately 80 nucleotides in length. Their secondary structure includes four short double-helical elements and three loops (D, anti-codon, and T loops). Further hydrogen bonds mediate the characteristic L-shaped molecular structure. tRNAs have two regions of fundamental functional importance: the anti-codon, which is responsible for specific mRNA codon recognition, and the 3' end, to which the tRNAs corresponding amino acid is attached (by aminoacyl-tRNA synthetases). tRNAs cope with the degeneracy of the genetic code in two manners: having more than one tRNA (with a specific anti-codon) for a particular amino acid; and 'wobble' base-pairing, i.e. permitting non-standard base-pairing at the 3rd anti-codon position. The record is from Rfam by way of RNAcentral. Lineage: Bacteria; Pseudomonadati; Pseudomonadota; Gammaproteobacteria; Chromatiales; Halothiobacillaceae.
GGAGGGUUGGCAGAGCGGUUGAAUGCACCGGUCUUGAAAACCGGCAAGGGUUUACCCCCUUCCAGGGUUCGAAUCCCUGAUCCUCCG